RNAcentral lists this ribosomal RNA (357 nucleotides) under uncultured bacterium. Its description in RNAcentral is "bacterial SSU rRNA". It matches the Rfam family "Bacterial small subunit ribosomal RNA", at positions 32 to 368 of the family's 1533-position model. The record is from RNAcentral.
AAUCAACGCUGGCGGCGUGCCUCAGACAUGCAAGUCGAACGCGAAAUUUCCCUUCGGGGAGAAAGUAGAGUGGCGCACGGGUGAGUAACACGUAGGUAAUUUGCCUUUGGGUGGGGAAUAACUCAGGGAAACUUGAGCUAAUACCGCAUAAUGCAGCGGCUCGACAUCGAGACAGUUGUUAAAGCGGGGGAUCGCAAGACCUCGCGCCUAAAGAGAAGCCUGCGGCAGAUUAGCUAGUUGGUAAGGUAAUGGCUUACCAAGGCGACGAUCUGUAACCGGCCUGAGAGGGCGGUCGGUCACACUGACACUGACAUACGGGUCAGACUCCUACGGGAGGCAGCAGUCGGGAAUUUUGGG